RNAcentral lists this ribosomal RNA (464 nucleotides) under uncultured bacterium. Its description in RNAcentral is "partial 16S ribosomal RNA". It matches the Rfam family "Bacterial small subunit ribosomal RNA", at positions 28 to 507 of the family's 1533-position model. The record is from RNAcentral.
GACGAGCGCUGGCGGCGUGCCUAACACAUGCAAGUCGAGCGAAUGAAGUUCCUUCGGGAAUGGAUUUAGCGGCGGACGGGUGAGUAACACGUGGGCAACCUGCCUCAUAGAGGGGAAUAGCCUCCCGAAAGGGAGAUUAAUACCGCAUAAGAUUGUAGUACCGCAUGAUACAGCAAUUAAAGGAGCAAUCCGCUAUGAGAUGGGCCCGCGGCGCAUUAGCUAGUUGGUGAGGUAAUGGCUCACCAAGGCGACGAUGCGUAGCCGACCUGAGAGGGUGAUCGGCCACAUUGGGACUGAGACACGGCCCAGACUCCUACGGGAGGCAGCAGUGGGGAAUAUUGCACAAUGGGGGAAACCCUGAUGCAGCAACGCCGCGUGAGUGAUGACGGCCUUCGGGUUGUAAAGCUCUGUCUUCAGGGACGAUAAUGACGGUACCUGAGGAGGAAGCCACGGCUAACUACGUG